AAAAGGACAAAAUCUGAGUUUCCGUAUCCAAUAUUUGACCGUUCGUCUUAUUUAAAAAAAUUAUGAAAAAAAUUAAAAAGAUAAGUCACGCAUAAAAUAUUAAUCAUGUUUUAUCAUCUAACAACAAUGAAAAUACUAAUUAUAAAAAAAUUUCAUAUAAGACGAACAGUCAACGUUGGACACGGAAACCCAGGAUUUAUCUUUUU
RNAcentral lists this microRNA precursor (206 nucleotides) under Oryza sativa Indica Group (long-grained rice). RNAcentral's name for it is "MIR812 microRNA precursor family". It matches the Rfam family "MIR812 microRNA precursor family". Lineage: Eukaryota; Viridiplantae; Streptophyta; Magnoliopsida; Poales; Poaceae. The record is from Rfam by way of RNAcentral.